GGGUCUGUCCAUUGGUCGGGCUUUACGGUCCGUACUGGUGAGAUGGGUUCCUACCUUCUGAAUAACCGGCAUGCCAUUUAGUUGGUGCGCCCGGGAAGCAGAGCUAUUACCUUGAAAAAAUUAGAGUGCUUAAAGCAGGCUAUUGCUUGAAUAGAUUAGCAUGGAAUAAUAAAAUAGGACGGCAUGGUUCUAUUUUGUUGGUUUCUAGGAUCACCGUA
RNAcentral lists this ribosomal RNA (218 nucleotides) under Glomeromycotina sp. RNAcentral's name for it is "partial small subunit ribosomal RNA". The stretch from base 93 to 218 matches the Rfam family "Eukaryotic small subunit ribosomal RNA", at positions 738 to 864 of the family's 1831-position model. Lineage: Eukaryota; Fungi; Glomeromycota. The record is from RNAcentral.